Molecule: long non-coding RNA, 1701 nt
Filed under: Theobroma cacao (cacao)
Lineage: Eukaryota; Viridiplantae; Streptophyta; Magnoliopsida; Malvales; Malvaceae
Description: long non-coding RNA (TCAC_LNC004452)
Source: RNAcentral
UCUAAUUCAUGAAUUCCAGUAAUUUUUCUUGUACCUAAUCUCUCAGAUCGUCAUUAAUAAUUAGUAGAAACUAUCUCCUCAAACAAAUAAUAGGCCUCAUCAAUGGAUUUACUCAUGAGUGCACCUCCAGCGGCAGCAUCAAUAGUAGUUCUAAAAUGUCAUGACCCGGAACUCUCAUCGAGCCCGUGACAAACGCCGCGACGUCCAGAUAGGCACUCAUUACCCCGAAUGCUGAUCGGAACCCCACAAGGCUUAGCAUCAGCUUCGGCAUCUCCCCGAUGAGCGACAGUUAUUAAAUCUCGCAUUUCAAGAAAUCAUAAGUCAUUUCCAAAUUAAAAUAAUAAAAUAUUAUUUUCUGGCUUACAGGGGCAUUUUCGUCAUUUUUCUUCGAAAAUAUCGAAACCUGUCAAAAACAUGGUGUAAAAGAUAGAUAUGUUCAUAUAUACUUUAAAUUAGAUAACUGAAGUAUCAAAUUACUUUUACAGUGACACGUAGGCCCCCAACUGACCAAAAAGGUGUAGGGCUAUGAACCCUUACUUUCUAGGAUGUAACUCCGAGAUUAAUUCUCGUCUUAAUCAACUAUCAACAAACUGUCCUGAGCCUGAAAAAAUGCAUAGGAAGAGGGGUGAGAUUAUGAUUACAUAAUCUCAGUGAGUAAACAAUUACCAUCAAAAGCAUCUAAAGCUGAGUAGAUGGAUACAAUAUAAAAACAAUAUAUUUCAAUAAUGUUCAUAAUGCAAAAUUCGUUUCAAUCUACACCAAAUAAUUUCUUUUCAUCAAAAUUUCCCCGGCUUAUGAGUUUCUUAAACUUGGCCCCUACCAGAAUCAUUCUCGCGGGUACCCUCUUCAAGGUAUCACACUAAGACCGCUAAGGCUGUUAAAUGAUCCAUACCCAUGAACACGUUUUCGCAUCUGACACACAACCAUUCCUUGACGUUGGCUGAGUCUCACUCUCACGUGGUGACCCGAAUGUGAGGUGCACUCAAAUCUUACCUCAGGAGAUACUUCAUCCAACAUCUCCCCCUAGAGGUAAUUAUAUAAUUGGGUUACCGUACCCCUCUCAUAGGCAGUCCACGGAAACCCCCACCACUGCAGUGACCAUUUAAUAUACCACCAGACCCAUAAAAUUUCCAAUAGCAUAAUAUGACGAAUAAAAUUUAAUCCAAUCUAUCGAGACCAAUCCAAAACUGUUCAUAUAUUUCAUGCCAAUCCAAAAAUUUAGCCAUCAUGCUACCAUAGUGUCAUAAGCCACAAUUUCAAUAACAUAUAAAAUCAUAAAUUCAACACAGUCUCCAUAUACUCAAUUUUUCCAAAACAAUAUUAGAUUUCAAAACCAAUAUAAAUCUCAUUUUUAUUAAAAAAAAUAUUUUAAUUGAAAAACAUAAUAUUUUAUAAUUUAAACUCACCAUUUAAUAAAAGCAUCAAACAAGUAUAAUUACUCUAGAUAUUUAAGACGAUAAAUUGUCCACUCACAGUAUUAGGAGUAGAAAUACUCCUAUUUUCAGUCCACGGGUACAGUCCUUUACCCGUAUCCAAUGACUCACCACUUAGCCAUAAUCCAUGACACAUAUUCCAAUUAAAUUGUGUCUAACAGUCAUAAGCUAUUUCAGGCUCAAUAUAUAUGCAUGAUAUGAAAUGAAAAAUGCACGGGUAGCCAUCUAGACCCGGUAUUAGCCUAAGUCGAUUUUUCAUCCGAUAAAU